GCCGAAGUGGCGGAAUGGCAGACGCGCCAGCUUCAGGAGCUGGUUCCCUCACGGGAGUGGAGGUUCAAGUCCUCUCUUCGGCA
Molecule: transfer RNA, 83 nt
Filed under: Gemmataceae bacterium
Lineage: Bacteria; Pseudomonadati; Planctomycetota; Planctomycetia; Gemmatales; Gemmataceae
Description: tRNA-Leu
Rfam family: tRNA
About the family: Transfer RNA (tRNA) molecules are approximately 80 nucleotides in length. Their secondary structure includes four short double-helical elements and three loops (D, anti-codon, and T loops). Further hydrogen bonds mediate the characteristic L-shaped molecular structure. tRNAs have two regions of fundamental functional importance: the anti-codon, which is responsible for specific mRNA codon recognition, and the 3' end, to which the tRNAs corresponding amino acid is attached (by aminoacyl-tRNA synthetases). tRNAs cope with the degeneracy of the genetic code in two manners: having more than one tRNA (with a specific anti-codon) for a particular amino acid; and 'wobble' base-pairing, i.e. permitting non-standard base-pairing at the 3rd anti-codon position.
Source: RNAcentral